Molecule: ribosomal RNA, 460 nt
Filed under: uncultured bacterium
Lineage: Bacteria
Description: partial 16S ribosomal RNA
Rfam family: Bacterial small subunit ribosomal RNA
Source: RNAcentral
CCUACGGGGUGCAGCAGUGAGGAAUAUUGGUCAAUGGACGAGAGUCUGAACCAGCCAAGUAGCGUGAAGGAUGACUGCCCUAUGGGUUGUAAACUUCUUUUAUAUGGGAAUAAAACGUUCCACGUGUGGGAUUUUGUAUGUACCAUAUGAAUAAGGAUCGGCUAACUCCGUGCCAGCAGCCGCGGUAAUACGGAGGAUCCGAGCGUUAUCCGGAUUUAUUGGGUUUAAAGGGAGCGAAGGUGGAUUGUUAAGUCAGUUGUGAAAGUUUGCGGCUCAACCGUAAAAUUGCAGUUGAAACUGGCAGUCUUGAGUACAGUAGAGGUGGGCGGAAUUCGUGGUGUAGCGGUGAAAUGCUUAGAUAUCACGAAGAACUCCGAUUGCGAAGGCAGUUCACUGGACUGCAACUGACACUGAGGCUCGAAAGUGUGGGUAUCAAACAGGAUUAGAUACCCCUGUAGUC